This 492-nucleotide ribosomal RNA is filed under the name uncultured bacterium. Its description in RNAcentral is "partial 16S ribosomal RNA". It matches the Rfam family "Bacterial small subunit ribosomal RNA", at positions 29 to 507 of the family's 1533-position model. The record is from RNAcentral.
AGUGAACGCUGGCGGUAGGCCUAACGCAUGCAAGUCGAACGGCAGCACAGUAAGAUCUUGCUCUUACGGGUGGCGAGUGGCGGACGGGUGAGGAAUACAUCGGAAUCUACUUUUUCGUGGGGGAUAACGUAGGGAAACUUACGCUAAUACCGCAUACGACCUACGGGUGAAAGCAGGGGAUCUUCGGACCUUGCGCGAUUGAAUGAGCCGAUGUCGGAUUAGCUAGUUGGCGGGGUAAAGGCCCACCAAGGCGACGAUCCGUAGCUGGUCUGAGAGGAUGAUCAGCCACACUGGAACUGAGACACGGUCCAGACUCCUAAGGGAGGCAGCAGUGGGGAAUAUUGGACAAUGGGCGCAAGCCUGAUCCAGCCAUACCGCGUGGGUGAAAAAGGCCUUCGGGUUGUAAAGCCCUUUUGUUGGGAAAGAAAAGCAGCAGGUUAAUACCCCGCUGUUCUGACGGUACCCAAAGAAUAAGCACCGGCUAACUUCGUG